UACAGAGGGUGCAAGCGUUAGUCGGAGUUACUGGGCGUAAAGGGCGUGUAGGCUGAUAUCUCAGUCGAUUGUGAAAUCCCUGGGCUUAACCUAGGAAUUGCAGUCGAUACUAGAUGUCUUGAGUAUGGUAGAGGAAAGUGGAAUUCUCGGUGUAGUGGUUAAAUACGUAGAUAUCGAGAAGAACACCGGUGGCGAAGGCGGCUUUCUGGACCAAUACUGACGCUGAGGCGCGAAAGCGUGGGGAG
This 245-nucleotide ribosomal RNA is filed under the name uncultured bacterium. RNAcentral describes it as "partial 16S ribosomal RNA". It matches the Rfam family "Bacterial small subunit ribosomal RNA", at positions 524 to 768 of the family's 1533-position model. The record is from RNAcentral.